UACAGAGGUGGCAAGCGUUGUUCGGAAUUACUGGGCGUAAAGGGCGCGUAGGCGGUCCGAUAAGUCCUGUGUGAAAUCCCUCGGCUCAACUGAGGAACUGCACGGGAGACUGCCGGGCUUGAGUUCGGGAGAGGGAAGCGGAAUUCCGGGUGUAGCGGUGAAAUGCGUAGAUAUCCGGAGGAACACCGGUGGCGAAGGCGGCUUCCUGGACCGACACUGACGCUGAGGCGCGAAAGCUAGGGGAGCAAACGGG
Molecule: ribosomal RNA, 253 nt
Filed under: uncultured bacterium
Lineage: Bacteria
Description: partial 16S ribosomal RNA
Rfam family: Bacterial small subunit ribosomal RNA
Source: RNAcentral